UCGCCGCCUCUGCUCCCCAAGAGCCCAGGACAGAAGAACGAGCCAUGCCUUGAAGACAUCAAGCGGCAUUCCCCAAACCCCAUGGUGCUCCAGCAUCACUCCAAAGGCUCAAGGGCGCAUUAGCAGAAUAAGAAGAAAGCAGCUUUGUUUCUCUACCAAAUGUGAUGCCUGGAGCUGCAGCAGCCGUCGAGUAAAAGCCGAGACUACAGAGCCUCUGGCCCCGACACUGCCGUCCCCCCUACGCCAGUGCGUCUGUGGCCAGGAGACCAGAGAGCCUCCAGCCCCGACACUGCCGGCCCCACCACGCCAGUGCUGUCUGUGGCCAGACUUGUACUUGUGUGAGAAAAAGAAAGCUCUAUUUGUUUCAAGCCAAGGUUGUGAGGAUUUCCUGUUUUCUUCAACUUGAAAAGUGAAAGUGUAGUCUCUCAUUCAUAGCUGACUCUUUGUGACUCUAUGGACUGUAACCCUCCAGGCUCCUCUGUCCAUGGAAUUCUCCAGGCAAGGAUACUGGAGUGGAUUGCCAUUUCCUUCUCCAGGAGAUCCUCCCAACCCAGGGAUCGAACCUCGGGUUUCCUGCGUUGCAGGCACAUUCUUUACAGUCUGAGCCACCAAGGAAGCUGACGCUGUAUACUAACACUUAGAAUGCAUCAUAGGUGCUCAGUAAAUAGCUGUUGAAUAAAUUAGGUAAUUAUCCAAA
Bubalus bubalis (water buffalo) is the source of this 697-nucleotide long non-coding RNA. RefSeq lists it as uncharacterized. The record is from RefSeq and is a predicted model, not a curated record. Lineage: Eukaryota; Metazoa; Chordata; Mammalia; Artiodactyla; Bovidae. The transcript has 2 exons.